GGUCAUGAGCACCGUGUCGCAUUUCGGGUACUAGAUUUGGGGCUUUACAAACUUAGAAUCAGAGCCUAAGGUUCAAUAGAGUCCUAGGAAGUCUGAAAGCUGUAUCUAGUAGAGUCUUGUACAUGGGUGUGUUGCAUGCCAUAUUUAUAUGCAGGAGGCUAUUAGAUGUUUUAGAAACAGUUUUCCUUCUUUCAGUAUUCAUGUCAUGCCAGUGA
Molecule: long non-coding RNA, 215 nt
Filed under: Capsicum annuum
Lineage: Eukaryota; Viridiplantae; Streptophyta; Magnoliopsida; Solanales; Solanaceae
Description: long non-coding RNA (CANN_LNC011618)
Source: RNAcentral